RNAcentral lists this ribosomal RNA (334 nucleotides) under uncultured bacterium. RNAcentral's name for it is "bacterial SSU rRNA". It matches the Rfam family "Bacterial small subunit ribosomal RNA", at positions 8 to 334 of the family's 1533-position model. The record is from RNAcentral.
AGGGUUUGAUUAUGGCUCAGGAUGAACGCUAGCGGCAGGCUUAACACAUGCAAGUCGAAGGGCAGCGGGAGGAGUGCUUGCACUCCUUGCCGGCGACUGGCGCACGGGUGAGUAACACGUAUGCAACCUGCCCUCUUCAGGGGGACAACCUUCCGAAAGGGAGGCUAAUCCCGCGUAUAUCUUUUGGAGGCAUCUCCGGAAGAGGAAAGCUUAUGCGGAAGAGGAUGGGCAUGCGGCGCAUUAGCUGGACGGCGGGGUAACGGCCCACCGUGGCGACGAUGCGUAGGGGUUCUGAGAGGAAGGUCCCCCACACUGGUACUGAGACACGGACCAG